UAAAGAAUUAUCGCUGAUAGAUGGGCAUGCGUUCCAUUAGAUAGUUGGUGAGGUAACGGCUCACCAAGUCCACGAUGGAUAGGGGUUCUGAGAGGAAGGUCCCCCACACUGGUACUGAGACACGGACCAGACUCCUACGGGAGGCAGCAGUGAGGAAUAUUGGUCAAUGGGCGAGAGCCUGAACCAGCCAAGUCGCGUGAAGGAUGAAGGAUCUAUGGUUUGUAAACUUCUUUUAUAUGGGAAUAAAGUGAGGAACGUGUUCCUUUUUGUAUGUACCAUAUGAAUAAGCAUCGGCUAACUCCGUGCCAGCAGCCGCGGUAAUACGGAGGAUGCGAGCGUUAUCCGGAUUUAUUGGGUUUAAAGGGUGCGUAGGUGGUUAAUUAAGUCAGCGGUGAAAGUUUGUGGCUCAACCAUAAAAUUGCCGUUGAAACUGGUUGACUUGAGUAUAUUUGAGGUAGGCGGAAUGCGUGGUGUAGCGGUGAAAUGCAUAGAUAUCACGCAGAACUCCGAUUGCGAAGGCAGCUUACUAAACUAUAACUGACGCUGAAGCACGAAAGCGUGGGGAUCAAACAGGAUUAGAUACCCUGGUAGUCCACGCAGUAAACGAUGAUUACUAGCUGUUUGCGAUACACAGUAA
Molecule: ribosomal RNA, 637 nt
Filed under: uncultured bacterium
Lineage: Bacteria
Description: bacterial SSU rRNA
Rfam family: Bacterial small subunit ribosomal RNA
Source: RNAcentral